AGUGAACGCUGGCGGUAGGCCUAACACAUGCCAGUCGAACGGCAGCACAGUAAGAGCUUGCUCUUACGGGUGGCGAGUGGCGGACGGGUGAGGAAUACAUCGGAAUCUACUUUUUCGUGGGGGAUAACGUAGGGAAACUUACGCUAAUACCGCAUACGACCUACGGGUGAAAGCAGGGGAUCUUUGGACCUUGCGCGAUUGAAUGAGCCGAUGUCGGAUUAGCUAGUUGGCGGGGUAAAGGCCCACAAAGGCGACGAUCCGUAGCUGGUCUGAGAGGAUGAUCAGCCACCCUGGAACUGAGACACGGUCCAGACUCCUACGGGAGGCAGCAGUGGGGAAUAUUGGACAAUGGGCGCAAGCCUGAUCCAGCCAUACCGCGUGGGUGAAGAAGGCCUUCGGGUUGUAAAGCCCUUUUGUUGGGAAAGAAAAGCAGCAGGUUAAUACCCCGCUGUUCUGACGGUACCCAAAGAAUAAGCACCGGCUAACUUCGUG
Molecule: ribosomal RNA, 492 nt
Filed under: uncultured bacterium
Lineage: Bacteria
Description: partial 16S ribosomal RNA
Rfam family: Bacterial small subunit ribosomal RNA
Source: RNAcentral